This is an RNA transcript of Oenanthe melanoleuca, 10019 nucleotides long. It is a transcript of the gene named T-cell antigen CD7-like, with no coding region annotated. The record is from RefSeq and is a predicted model, not a curated record. NCBI's taxonomy places the organism in Eukaryota, Metazoa, Chordata, Aves, Passeriformes, Muscicapidae. The transcript has 12 exons.
AGUGAAGUGACUUUAUCCUCAGAGAUCCGAUUGACUUCUGCAUUCCCUCAGGAAGAGGAGCUGAAUAAACUGGGAUUUGGAAAGGCUGCACAGGCGCUGGGAGAAGGGAAGAGGCAUGAAGGGUCCCUUGGGCACAAACAGCUUCUGAGGGAGAAGACUGAGGGAGGAAGCUGCUGAGCCUGGCCUGGCACUGUGGAGGAUCUGGAGAGCCCCAGCCCCGCUGGACCUGGGCCCCCAGAGAGCCCCAUGGACCCUCCCCACCUCCUGCCCUUGGGUUUGCUGCUGCUGGCUCUUGCUGCUCCCCAUCCCAAUAUUGCCAUGUCCACUGUUGGCACUGAAGGGACAGAAGACUAUUCUACAGAGGUGACAGUCUACCGCUGCAGGGACUGUAACAGCUGCACAUGCAAGUCUGGGGCAAAUGAUUUUGAAAACUUUAACAUAAUUGCUGACACACAAAACAACAGAUUUUCAGAUGUAAUAAUAGAGUUGGUGACCAAUAAAACACACACCACUGUUUGCUUUGAGGAGCCAAAUUUCUGUCUUGAAGAAACUUACGGCAUCUUCUGGAAGAGAGAUGGGGGAUCAGGACUCUCGUGUGGCAUCCUGCGUUCUGGAGAAAAUGCAAGUAGUGACAUCAGUACUGAGAAGACUAUUUGCUGUGAGGCAGAGACAGGUACCAGGAGAUACAAUCCUGAAGUGAAGUGCUUCUACACCCAGAAGUUGCGUCCAAAACUCAAGACACUUCCACUUGGCUCUCCUGCCGAGGGAAUUCCAGAUGGGGCCAGUUCCUUGGUGUGGUGCUCACGAGGCAGCUCAUGGCUUGGCACUCCUGCUUGCUUCACUUGGAUGCUCUGUUUUCUUCUGCUCUGCAGCUUGUAGACAAGGCAGACAGGCUCCUGAAGGAGAAAGUCUUGUACAUCUUUGAUAACCAUCUCCAAGGAAGAAAACCUCUCUGUCAGCAGCAUCCUCCUCCUCCUCCUCUCUCAGGAUGCACAGCAACCAUGCAAACACAGACUGCUUUUCCAUGAGAUCUUCUGCUCUUGGAUUCACAAACUGUUGUGUUUUCACGAAUGCACCUUCACCACAGCCACACCUUCACCACAGCCACACCUUCCCCAAGCACUGUGACUCUUGUCCAGCUCCAGGUCUGUGUGAGCAGCACCAGGAGCCCCCAUCCUCUGCUGGUGCCUGGCUGCAGACAGCAGGCACCCCAGGGUGUGUGGCUGGCUCAGCAGCACAGGCUGAAACCAGCUGAAUUCUCUCUGUGACUGAGAGUGUGAACUGCUCUGAAAUGCUUCCCAAGCCCUCUGCAUGGCUUUCUCUUGGAAAUGCCACAGCAGCACCCAGGUGUCUGCAUUUUUUUAAUUCUCAGGUCAUCUCUGGAUUCAACAAAGCCUUUUGCACAGCUGGCUGGUUGGUUGGACUGGAAGAGUUUGUUUUUUUGAAGAGAUAUUUGAUUUUGCUGCCAGCUGCAGGCUGAGGAUGUGUCUGUGUGUUUGUUCCUGUGCAGGGGUCAGGGGUGGGUGGGGGGCUGUGUCCAGCUCCCUCAGCAAUGGCAUUGGGUCACUGAGGCCUUCCUCCCCCAGGCUGAACAGAACUCUGGUGUCAAUCUUCCUGCCAAAUCAGGCAAUUUUAGAGAGUGUGUGAUGAAUCCAGCCUCUCAGGGAUCCCAUUGGUUCUUGGUAUCUUUAAAUCAUUCCCCAUUCCCACUUGAUUGGAAUAAACCCUCAGAUUUUGCAUUGGAUCAAAUUUAGUAUCAGGAUGUUGAGUGGCAGCACAAGUGGAAAAGCAAAUCCCUGAAGCAAUGUGAAUGUUUGCUGAUUCUUUUUUUCCAUGGUUUAGUUCCCCAUGAAUCUGUAGCUGACACUUCCAGCAGGAAAUCUCAAAGGAUAUAGGAUGUUGUUUCCCUCUUGAACUUGGUACAGUUAAAUUGAAAAGGAAAGAUGAUUAAUGUAAAACAUCCACAUAAUUUUAAUAAUUAAUUUUUAGAAAGAUUGAAGGGCCUCUGUGCUUAAAUUUACCUUUUAUUUGGCAAAGAAAAUCAAUGCUUUUAUAGGUUGGAGAGGAUUAUUUUCCCCACUUAGGGCUUUUCACUCUUAACUCAGUUCUCAUCUGAUUUGAUGCAAUUUUUUGAUUUUAAUGUGGUGGAAUGCAAUCAAGUGUUCCUGAAGGGUUUACCAUUCAGGUAUUCCAAGGCUAGGUGUUUACUGAGUUGGUGGUAUUGAUGAUCCAGUUGUCAGGUGUAUUUUAUCAUGAGGAGUGUAGUUAAUAAUCAAUAAAUCAAAUCUAAGGUUUCCUGUAGCAAGGCCAGACUGUGAAUGAAUGAAGAAAUAGAAGGACAAAGACUUUUCCUCCGAACGUAGAAUCUAACCCCAAUUGCACUUCUAUAUUUUUACUCUCAAGAAAACUGCAGGAAGCUUUUGGGAGAGUAGAGCUGUGUAAGAGGAGUGAGUGACGCACCAGCCGGAGCUGCGCUCACUUUGCCACUACAGCCCCAUGCUGAGCAGGUCACACUCUGGGAGCAGGUGAACUGAGGUGUGGCUGGAGCCAUUGCUCUACAGCCUAUUUUGGCUGUCAGUCUGAGCUCUGAGGAGACAAGGAGGAGGGGAGAGGUGUACUGCAUAGAAUCAAAGAGGAUUUAUUACUCUGGGUUAUUUGCGGGCAAAAGACAAAAACGCAAGUUGAAAUAUGGGGGAGGUUCAGGGGACAGUACAAAUAAUCAGCAAAUUGGAGAAAUUCUGAGGGGGGGUAAAAGACUUGAUUCAAAAAAGCAUUAUCCAAUGAGAGAGGUAGGGGUGGAAAUUGGGUCCCAUGGAAGAAUGAAAUGUCCAGUUUUAGGGGAUUUCUAAAAAGGGAUUCCAAGCAGGGGUUAGACACAAAGUGGGAUUGACAGGGAAUUCAGGGUAGAUUCAUCGGGUGGGUGGGAGGGUAUAAUUUGGACCAAACCAUUAACUUGGGCAGAAUAUACCAUUAACCAGAAACACAUUGCUUCUUAAACAGAAAAGAGGGAGAUGUUGCAGAGUUGUGGUGUUGAGGAAUAGAUUCUGAUUGGGGUACACAUUUCUCCACCAGGACUGCUAUGUUAAUACUGCUACAUGAUUGACUUCUUUGGUGGAAGAGGUGGUAUCUUGGGUUGUCUUUAAGACAGCUUUCUUUAGAAUGGAAAAGGCAAUUAAAAUAAGAAAUACAACUAAGAAAAUCAACAGAAUGGUCCUGACAAUAGAAGCUAUCCAUUCUGUUAGUCCCCAUACUUUAAAGCUGGAACUUUGCCAGUCCUUGGAUUCUGGUUGAAUGUCUCUGAUGAGGUCUUCUAUUUUAUUGAUGGAAGUGUGGACACCUCUACUUUUGGAUGUUAAAUUAAAGCAACAGAGCCCUUCAAAGUCUUCACACCCAUGGCCAUGUGCAAGAAGCAAAAAGUCUAUAGCAGCACGAUUUUGUAAGUUUAUAUUCCUGGUUAUCUCUUCAUGAAAGAAUUCUUUUCUGUGGUGUGGCUGAUACACAAACUGAACGUAAUAAGGGGAAAAGGAGGAUCCCAAAAUUUCAAACUCUUAGGAUUCUUCAGUAGCCACAGGUAAUUUCUUGAUCCAAUUUCUCCAUAAAAUAAGAGGGUUUGUCACAAGCAUUUUUAUGGAGUAAAUGUUACUAUAAGAACAAGAAAGUUCAACGGGGGUUUGGUGGGUUGUUGGGAAUUGAUUUGUGCUUGUAGGGUUUUUAAACUUUCUAGGUAUUCUUUAGGCUUAAAUGGAAUCCUCAGCAGGCAGGUGUUGACAAAGGGUCAUGAGUGGCUGCCAUUGACAGGCAUAUGUGAUGUUGCUUUAGGACCUGGGCUAGGGUGACCCACACAUUCUUUCUUGGCUGAGGGAUGAUCCACGGUUGUGAGGACUGGCGCAGGAGAGUCAGGAUCCAAAUGGCAUUUAAAAGCAUGAUCUCUGACCCAGAGAACAUUCUAGGACCAAUAUGCCUAAGAAAGAAACAAGAUUAUGUUCUUCUGGGUAGAGGAAAUUAAAGGCAGGGUACACAUUAAUUAAAAAGGUCUGACAUAUCAUUGGGAAAAGGAACAGUGGGGGAUAAUUGACACAAUCAAGUAGAAGAUUGGGUUUUCCAGUUCCUUGGUGCCUAUGUCUGUGGAGGGAAGCCACAGCUAUAUUUUUGUUGAACUGGCCUUAACUUGGUAUGGAUUUGAGGCUGUGAGGCUUGACCCACUUUUGAGGGACCCCUCUAAACCCGGAGGGGGUGGACACACAUGCAUACCCUCAACCCCAGGUGAUUGACUUAAAUGGGCCCUCUACUUUUGUUGUCUAGGAUUUUUUAAUAAAACUAGGGGCUGUUCUUUCAAUUUUAGCUGUCUGCUAUUGUUGACAUGCCGGACAACAAGUGGGUUUAAGUGUUCAAAUGAACAGUUCAAAAAAUUUAUGGUAACAUAAAAAAACAAGGCCUUACAGAGCUUAAUUUGUGGUGGAUCGCUGGUGGUAUUGCUCUGCUGCUGCUCUAGGACUCUCUUGAGCGACUGAUGUGUUUGCUCAAUGAUGGCUUGACCUGUGGGGGACUGGGGGAUGCCUGUUUUAUAUUUCACUCCCCAUUUCUGCAAGAACUCCCAGAAUGCCUUGGAGGUAUAUAUGGGACCAUUAUCUCUUUUAAUUCCUUUAGGGAUUCCCAGCACAUAGAAGGCUUGCACUAGGUCUUUUUGUGCAUCUGUGGCCUUCUCCCCUGUGUAGACAGAAACAUAGACUACUCUGAAGAAAGUAUCUACUGAAACGUGGACAUAGUUCAUCCUGCUGAACUGUGGGACAUGAGUCACAUCCAUUUGCCACACCUCACAGCUGUUGAGGCCUCUUGGAUUUACACCAGCACUCAAGGUCGGUGCUGUGUACCUUUGGUAACUGGGAUCUGUAGCUACAAUGGCUUUGGCCUGGUCCCACGUGAGAUGGAAUUGAUGUAACAGGCCAGGUACAUGUUGAUGGAAUUGUUGAUGGCUUGACUUUGCCUGCUGAAAGAUGUGUGGCAGGUUGAGCAUCUCAGCCGGGGUGGCCAGAACAUCUGCUCUUCUGUUCCCCUCCGCAAUGAAACCUGGCAGGUCAGUGUGUGACCUCACAUGCAACACAUAGAAAGGUUGCUCUUGGUGGGAAACAAGAUUAAUUAAUCUUGAUAGCAACCUAAAGAGGUUGGGAUUAGAGGCUUCCUUUAAAACUGCAUUCUCAGCUCUAGAUACUACCCCUGCUACACAAGACGAAUUGGUGAUUAGAUUAAAAGGUUCAUAAAACCUCUCAAAGGCUCUGAGGACUGCGACUAACUCAGCAAUUUCAGGGGAGCCCUCAACUUCUUUAACAUCUGUCUCCCAUUGCUGAGUUUGAGGAUCCUUCCAGGUCAUCACUGACUUGUGGGAUGCUCCAGAUACAUCUCUGAAAACUGUCAGAGCAUUGAUGACUUCCGACUUUGUUUUUCCUUGGGGACUAAUUUGAAUGCCGAAUUAAAUAAUUAUGUCCAGGAUUGUGAAUUGAAAUUUGUCCUGGGUGGUUAUCUAGAGCAAAUUGGAGUGCCUUGUUUUUCCAAAUCAACUGCUCCAGAACUUCUUUCAUCAACUUACCUGAUAUUAGGUAUGCAUGUGAAAUCACACUCCGCCAGUUCUCGCAUUCUUGCCCUGGCCUUCCGGGUCAAUUCAGCCAUCAACUCUUGUGGCCUGGUGAUACUUUUGGAUCGCUGAUGACUGAGGAAUACCCACUCUCUUAUCAAGAGUGGAUCCUUCUGACCCUGGUCCCACUGGAGAAUCAGGCCAUGGAGGUGUGGCAGUCUUCCCAAAAAAAUAUACUUAAAUAGCAAGUCUGGCAUUAUGAGCUUGUUUUGUUGCCAUCAGCUCUUGAGCUUUCUCCAGUGCCAACUUGGCCUCUUGGGUUAGGACUCUAGGAGAACUCAGCUCCUCUCUGCCUUUCAAUAAAUUGAAAAGGGGGGCUAGGUCUUCUGUUGUUAAGCCCAGCCAGGGUCUUACCCAAUUUAAGGACCCACACAGCUGGUGGAGAUCAGCUAACGUUUUUGGGUUGUUUCUGAUUGUCAGUUUCUGAGGCGUAAUGGUCCUCUUGUUAAUUUGGAGCCCCAGAUACCUCCAAGGGGGCAUCUAUUGAGCUUUGUUUGGAGUUUGAAUCCUGCAGCAAUCAAAACAUUGACAAUUAGAUCAAGUGCGUGCUGUAGCGUAUCGUCAUCGGGGGCACACGUGAACACAUCAUCCAUCUAGUGCAGGGUGAUGGCUUCCCUCACUUUGGCAUGCUCUGGGGACAGCAAUGAAGCAACAUACCAGUGGCAGGUACUGGGACUGUUCUUCAUGCCUCGUGAAAAAACUUUCCAAGGGUAGCCCUUCACUGGGGCUUCUCGAUUGAUGGAGGGAACUGGGAAGGCAAACCAUGGGGCAAUGGCAGUGUCAAAGGGAAUCUGGAAGAAACAGUCUUUUAUAUCAAUAACUGCCAAAUUCCAAUUCUGGGGCAGCGUCAGCAGGGAGGGCAUUCCUGGCUGAGGAGGCUCCAUGUCUUUAAUUACUUGGUUAAUUUCUCUGAGAUCAUGGAGGAGCUGCCACUUGUCCUUUCCCGGCCCUGAUGACAAACACCAGGGAAUUCCAAAGACUAGUGGUUGCCUUUUCCUAACUGUUCCUCUACAAGUUCAUGCAGCCCCUUUAAUUUUUGUUUACCCAGCAGCCACUGACUUACCCAGACUGGUUGAUCAGUUUUCCAGUCAGCUUCUAGGCAGGGUGCUCAUCAGCGACCUCUAUGAAAGAUCCCAAUGGGUUUUUGAGAUUUUAAAUUUUCACUCCCCAUUGAGACAUGGUGUGUCUCCCUCACAGGGCAACCUCAUAGUCUAAAAUGAAUGGGUGCAAACUGGCCAAUUGCCCAUCUGGCCCUUCAGCUGGGACUGUGUUUUAGAUCAUUUGGCUAUUUGGGUCUCCCCAAUGCUCUGUACUUUAUCCAUCAUGGGUUGCAAUUCCCAAUGUGAUCGUCAUCUGGUGGUGGGGAUGAGCAUCACAGCUGCCUGUGUCCAACACUGCACCGAGGUGAAGGUAAUCUUAACUCUAUCCAAGGCUUGUUUUCUCCCAUGACUUCAGCCCAGUAGAUGUCUGGUGAAGAAUCAUCCACUGGCAGUUCGUUUGGCAUCGGAAACACCUGGGUAAUGAUUUGGCCCUGUGGCAUAAAGAAAGGAAGAGGAGCUGAAUAAACUGGGAUUUGGAAAGGCUGCACAGGCACUGGGAGAAGGGAAGAGGCAUGAAGGGUUCCUUGGGCACAAACAGCUUCUGAGGGAGAAGACUGAGGGAGGAAGCUGCUGAGCCUGGCCUGGCACUGUGGAGGAUCUGGAGAGCCCCAGCCCCGCUGGACCUGGGCCCCCAAAGAGCCCCAUGGACCCUCCCCACCUCCUGCCCUUGGGUUUGCUGCUGCUGGCUCUUGCUGCUCCCCAUCCCAAUAUUGCCAUGUCCAAUGUUGGUCCUGCUGCAGGAACAGAAGACUAUUCUACAGCAGUGACAGUCUACCACUGUAAGGACUGUAAGAACUGCGCAUGUGAGUCCUGGGAUAAAAAUUCUGAAAAGUUUGACAAAAGCACUGACACCCAAAGCAAGACAAUUUCAGAUGUAAUAAUAGCGUUGAUGAGCAAUAAAACACACACCACUGUUUGCUUUGAGGAACCAACUACCUGUCUUGAGGGAAUUUAUGGAGUCUCCUGGCAGAAAUGUGGGGGAUCAGGACUCUCGUGUGGCAGACUGCAUUCUGGAGAAAAUGGAAGAGGUGGCAUCAGUGCUGAGAAAAAGACUAUUUGCUGUGAAGCAGAGACAGGUAGCAGGAAAAACAACUCUGACCUGAAGUGCUUCUACGAAAAAAAGUCACUUUCAAAACGCACCAAACUGCCAGCUGUCUCUCCUGGUGAGGGAAUUGCAGAUGGGGCCAGUUCCUUGGUGUGGUGCUUACGAGGAGCUUGGCACUCCUGCUUGCUUCACUUGGAUGCUCUGUUUUCUUCUGCUCUGCAGCUCGUAGGCGAGACAGGCCGGUUCCUAGAAGAGAAAAUAUCCCACUAAAUGGAUAACCAUCUCCAAGGGAGAAAACCUCUCUGUCAGCAGCAUCCUCCUCCUCCUCCUCCUCUCUCAAGAUGCACAGCAACCAUGCAAACACAGACUGAUUUUCCAUGAGAACUUCUGCUCUUGAAUUCACAAACUGUUGUGUUUUCACAAAUGCACCUUCACCACAGCCACACCUUCCCCAAGCACUGUGACUCUUGUCCAGCUCCAGGUCUGUGUGAGCAGCACCAGGAGCCCCCAUCCUCUGCUGGUGCCUGGCUGCAGACAGCAGGCACCCCAGGGUGUGUGGCUGGCUCAGCAGCACAGGCUGAAACCAGCUGAAUUCUCUCUGUGACUGAGAGUGUGAACUGCUCUGAAAUGCUUCCCAAGCCUUCUGCAUGGCUUUCUCUUGGAAAUGCCACAGCAGCACCCAGGUGUCUGCAUUUUUUUAAUUCUCAGGUCAUCUCUGGAUUCACCAAAGCCUUUUGCACAGCUGGCUGGUUGGCUGGACUGGAAGAGUUUGUUUUUUUGAAGAGAUAUUUGAUUUUGCUGCCAGCUGCAGGCUGAGGAUGUGUCUGUGUGUUUGUUCCUGUGCAGGGGUCAGGGGUGGGUGGGGGGCUGUGUCCAGCUCCCUCAGCAAUGGCAUUGGGUCACUGAGGCCUUCCUCCCCCAGGCUGAACAGAACUCUGGUGUCAAUCUUCCUGCCAAAUCAGGCAGUUUUAGAGAGUGUGUGAUGAAUCCAGCCUCUCAGGGAUCCCAUUGGUUCUUGGUAUCUUUAAAUCAUUCCCCAUUCCCACUUGAUUGGAAUAAACCCUCAGAUUUUGCAUUGGAUUGAAUUUAGUAUCAGGCUGUUGAGUGAAAAUCAGUGGCAGCACAAGUGCAAAUUUUUGAAGCAAUGUGAAUAUUUUCCAUGGUUUAGUUCCCGAUGUAGCAGUAGCCAUAAACCAUAAACAUCCAGCAGAAAAUCCCAAAAGAUGUAGGAUGUUGUUUCCCUCUAGAACUUUGCUACAGUCAAACCUAAAGGGAGAGGUUCUUAAUGUAAAAUGUUCAUAUAAUUUUAAUAUUUAAUUUUUAGAGAGAAGGGCAUCCGUGCUUAAAUUUACCUUCUAUUUGGCAAAGGAGACCAAUGCUUUUAUGGGUUGGAGAGGGUUUUUUAGCCAUUCAGGGCGUUACACUCACACUUUUAAGUCAGUUCUCAGCAAAUUUGAUGCAGAUUUGCACAACUAAGGUUGCCUUUAACAAGGCCAGUCUGUGAAUGAACUAAGAAAUAGAAGGAAAAAGACUUUCCCUCUUUAUGUAGCAUCUUAUCACUAUUGCACUUUAGUUUUUUUUUCCGUACAAGAAAAUUGCAGCAAUUUUUUGAGAGAGUAGAGAUGUGUAAGAGGAGUGAGCAGUGCUUUCUUUGGAAAUUGCAUUAUAUUAACUUGAGGUGUUCAGGUUUAAUGAUGUGCAGAUUUAAUUUCUAUUCUGUAACAGCAGUUGGGGCCAGAGUGCUGGACAUGCUUUGAGAGAAAAGUUAUAUGGGCACCUCAGUGAGGUCAGACAGGAAACACAGGUCACAGAAUGAUCUUGAUGUCUCUCUCAAAAACUCUUUCCUUCACAUCUCUUAAUUCUGUGGGUGAUUAUGCAGAUUGUGAUGUUUGGGGACAUCCCCACCAACUGCUCCACUUUGUCCCUUUGGUCUGUGUUGUGCUGGUGCACACCAAAGGUGCCACAUCUCAGGAAAUGCAGUGACAACGUGCUUUAAAGAUCUACAGUGUUUGUUCUCAGCAAGUGCAUUUUUCCAUUGAAUAUAGACAUAGAGGUGCAUAUUUUUAAUCACAGGAUCAUAGAAUGAUUUGUGCUGGAAGUGAUCUAAAAGAUCAUCUUGUUUUAUCUUAUGGAUAAAAAAAUAACAAAGAAUACUAAGAGGUUUGACUCACCAAAAGCCAUAAUUUGAUAGUUGUUACUUCAUUUGAGGUGUCAUAAAAUCCACAAUAAAGUUUUAUCUUAAAUA